Molecule: ribosomal RNA, 440 nt
Filed under: uncultured bacterium
Lineage: Bacteria
Description: bacterial SSU rRNA
Rfam family: Bacterial small subunit ribosomal RNA
Source: RNAcentral
CCUACGGGUGGCUGCAGUGGGGAAUAUUGCACAAUGGGGGAAACCCUGAUGCAGCAACGCCGCGUGAGCGAUGAAGGCCUUCGGGUCGUAAAGCUCUGUCCUAAGGGAAGAAUACUGACGGUACCUCAGGAGGAAGCCCCGGCUAAAUACGUGCCAGCAGCCGCGGUAAUACGUAGGGGGCUCGCGUUAUCCGGAAUUACUGAGCGUAAAGGGUGCGUAGGCGGCCCUUCAAGUCAGAGGUGAAAGGCUACGGCUCAACCGUAGUAAGCCUUUGAAACUGUAGGGCGUGAGUGCAGGAGAGGUGAGUGGAAGUCCCAGGGAAGCGGUGAAAUUCGUAGAAAUUGGGAAGAACACCAGUUGAGAAGGCGGCUCUCUGGACUGUAACUGACGCUGAGGCACGAAAGCGAGGGGAGCUAACAGGAUUAGAUACCCUUGUAGUC